UCCGUGCAAAGAAAAAAGAGGCGAGGCGGCUAGGGAAAAACCCUAGCGCCGCCUCUAUCACUGCCCCACCCCCCCUUUUCCUCAUCGUAUCCCGUCAUGGGAUGGAGUGUAGAACAUGGAAAAUCAGAGGAGAAGAUGAAGCAUUAAUUUCAUCGUCCUUUUCCAUACGUUUUCUCCACAAAAUUCGUCCAAAUGCUCUCUUAAGAAAGGAGGCUCCAAGUCCAUUCUUGCUCCGGUUGCACUCAAAAAAGGUGGUGAAAUUGAACAAGGGGAUGAAGGAAGUGAAGACAUGACUUAGGAGGAUUGGAUUAAUGUUUUUGAAAAUUGAAAACUUGUGUGUUCCACCUCUUGAAUGGUCAAACAUUAUCUUGAUAUUUUGCUUUUAUGGAUAUUACUUGACCUCUUGGAUCUUGGAUUAUUAUUUUGGUAUGACGUUGGAUCUUAGAUUAUUAUUUGGGUAUGACGGUGGAUCUUGGAUUAUUAUUUUGAUUAUGAAUAGUUUCUUCUUGUGAUUGAUU
Lycium barbarum (goji berry) is the source of this 518-nucleotide long non-coding RNA. RefSeq lists it as uncharacterized. The transcript has 3 exons. The record is from RefSeq and is a predicted model, not a curated record. NCBI's taxonomy places the organism in Eukaryota, Viridiplantae, Streptophyta, Magnoliopsida, Solanales, Solanaceae.